CGCUAUUUAGUUAUGAAUCAUAAGUUUCUUUUCCUUUUAUAUUUCAGUUUUGCCAUUUACCAAUGAUGCACUCACUCUUUUUAAAAAUGAGUUGGAAGCCAGGAAUUGUGGCCCAUUUCUAUCAUCCUAGGAGGCAGACAUAAGAGCACUGCAACAUUAGCUAUAAUCGUGAAGGCCAAUAGCCCAUCCCAAAUCAAUACUGUAAAGCAACACUGAACUGAAAUUGCCUGCAGAAAGGACAGCAGAGCCCGGGCAGACCCAGGCUGGGUGUGGCUGGGUUGCAGCCACAUCUGAAGGUUCGCCUCACAUCCUUCUUGACCUAACCGGGUACCUCGAUGUGAUCGUCUGCUCUAGUAUCUGCAUUUUCCUCUGAGUGCAGCCUGUGGAAUCCUCCAGGAGUGGAUCUUCUGUCCCUCAGAUACCGAUCCCAGUGAAACUCUCCC
Molecule: long non-coding RNA, 443 nt
Organism: Mus musculus (house mouse)
Lineage: Eukaryota; Metazoa; Chordata; Mammalia; Rodentia; Muridae
Product: predicted gene, 52802
Exons: 3
Source: RefSeq, a predicted model, not a curated record